UUAUCCUGGAGCUCCCUCUAGUGCCACAAUAUUAAAUAGUAGCUUUUGGAGGCUCUGUGGGUACCCAACUGUUAACGAAUUCAUCAAUCAAAAAGCAUUUAUUGAGCACCAACUAUGUGCUGAGCACUGUAAGUGGAUACAGAAAAGCCAAGCAACUUUCAACAAAUAAUGUCUUAUCUUCCUCUCUGUUGCCACUCUCCUAACUGGAUAUUCAAGGUGACAAGUCCUGGGUUCCAUAGAGAGGUUACUAUUUCACUCAUCAGGGUUCUAGUGGCCAGGCCUGAGCUCCUACUGCUGUGUUCCCUAUUAUCAACCUUUUUUUAGUUUUUAGAAAAGGAAUUAACUGAGAUAGCAUAGUGACAGCAGUUCAUACAAAACAUUCCCUCUAAACUGGGCUGUACAAACAGGUCUCUGAGUAGGAGAGGCUCCAAAUUAACGUACAGUGGUAAAUGAAACACGUUUGGACUCAGAAGUCCUUUUCUCCCUUUACAGAAUCCUCAUGAAGUCCUCCCUGGCUGUAGUUUUCUGUGGGCCUCCGAGAAUAAUUGCUUUUCUGAAUCCUAAAAUGUCAGAAAACAACGAUCACAAAUGGCUUCACCAUGCAAAUGAAAAAUAAAUAAAUACUUUUAAAAGAGAAAAUUACAAUAAAGAAAAAUGCUGCAAAGAGGCAAGUUAAGACUCGAGGUCAGAAAAAAAGCUUUCUACCAACUAGAACCAUCCCAGAGUACAAUGGGCUGCUUAGAAGUUGCUUUCUCCCUUUGUAUGUUGGCUAUGUUCCUUUCCUGUAUCAGAUGGGGAAGCUAAGACUGAGAAAUUAAAUGACUUUUCUGAGGUCAUCCAGUAAGUUGGACCCUGAGUCUGUGUGAUUUCAAGAGACGUUUGAGAGAUCACAUGUAUGUCCAUAUACACAACUCAGCAUCCUAUCCACUGUAUGACCUGGCUGCCCUUUUCUUCUGGAUAUCCUCAUGGAAUUCCAUUGUAAGCCAGACCAAGACAGUUCUCAGUGGAUCAUUGAACAGAGUUAUCUUUGGAGCUGUACCUGUUUAAAAAGCUCUAUUCCCACUCAAAGACUUUGUGAUUCUGGGUAUCUGAGUCACAAAUUAACGUACGACCUUUGGAACCUGGAGAGUGGAUUUGAAAGUUUCAUAUUAUUCCCUGAAACUAAGAAAGAAGAUUUUGAUCCUUCUGGGGUUGACAUCCUCAUGGGUCCAAAGCUCACCACAUUUCCAGGGUAAUGCCUGAUCAGAGGAAAUAGAUGGAAAGACCCAGCCUAGAAUGAAACCAGACUCUGCAAAGGGUUUUUUUGAGUGCUUUAUUUCCUAGAGGGACAAAAGCAAAAGGUACUUUCUCGACAGACAAAUGUGAGGCCUGGAAGUUCUCUGUUUCCCUAGAUGACAGUGAUGACAUAGGGAAAGUAUGCAUUCGCCUGUUGGAAAAUACCUAGAAGCUUAUGCUGGCAGACAUCACCUACUUCUGACUGCCCUCCAUUCUCAUAGCCUGAAUCCCAGCUGCUCUCCCAUUGUAUAUUCUCAAAAGAGAAUUUGUUGUUGUUCAGUCAUGUCCAACGCUUCGUGACCCAUUUGGGGUUUUCUUGGCAGAGAUACUAGAGGGGCUUGCCAUUUCUUUCUCCAGAUCAUUUUACAGAUGAGAAAACUGAGGUAAACAGGGUUAAGUGACUUGCUUAAGAUCACUUAGCUAGUAAAUAUCUGCAGCCAGAUUUGAACUCAGAAAGAUGAAUCUUCCUUACUCCAGCCCCAGCACUCCAUCUACUCUCUCUCCUAAAAGAGAAUAGCUGGUCUUCUCUCCUGGAGCCCCCAUCUCUGGUUAAGAGGAAGGAUGGUACCCCCAACCAUUUAGGCAGCUUCAGCUGCCUCUUAGUUCCCCAUUUUGAAAUUAUUGAUUAUUGUGUGGGAAGGGAAGGGGAGGGGAGGGGAGGGAAGAGUGACAGUAAUGGAGGUAAGGAUCAAGGUGUCUAAAAAGCCUCAGGAGAUCACUAGAGGAGUUGGAUAAUAAACAGCUUCCAUUUUCAAAUCA
Molecule: long non-coding RNA, 2034 nt
Filed under: Monodelphis domestica (gray short-tailed opossum)
Lineage: Eukaryota; Metazoa; Chordata; Mammalia; Didelphimorphia; Didelphidae
Description: lncRNA (ENSMODG00000042976.1)
Source: RNAcentral